Molecule: long non-coding RNA, 379 nt
Organism: Saccostrea cuccullata (small rock oyster)
Lineage: Eukaryota; Metazoa; Mollusca; Bivalvia; Ostreida; Ostreidae
Exons: 3
Source: RefSeq, a predicted model, not a curated record
CUGCACUGGUGUCCAUGCAAAAAGAAUCAGGGGAAAGUCGAGAAAAGUGUCUGGAGAGUCUUGCAGGAAUGAAUCCUACGAAUAAGAAUACAACACCUUCUCAGGUGGCUGAACUAGUUACCUUUCUUUGCUCCCCGGCAGCAGACAAUACGACAGGGACAGCUAUUCCAGUAGAUGGUGGAUAUACAGCGCAAUAGACGCUUAACCAUUUCUAGUGUCAUGUCCAGUGCAAAAAAACGGUCUUAUUUCUGUCACUGCUUACAAAGCAAAAUCUUAAAAGAACCUUGUUCAUAAUUCCAUUCUAUACGGGCCAAUAUAUAGCAUUCAUUGUCAUUUGGGAAAGUUUGAAAAGAAGCUUGUACAUUUUUUGUGGAUUAAA